UAUACUUGGGAGUCAGACUGUGGGUGAUAAGAUUCAUAGUCGAAAGGGCAACAGCCCAGAUCGUCAGCUAAGGUCCCUAAAUGUAAGUUAAGUGGUAAAGGAUGUGGGAUUGCACAGACAACCAGGAUGUUGGCUUAGAAGCAGCCACUCAUUCAAAGAGUGCGUAAUAGCUCACUGGUCGAGUGAUCCUGCGCCGAAGAUUUCCGGGGCUAAAACUUACUACCGAAGCUACGGCAUCAGUAAUGAUGGGUAGGGGAGCUUCCCAUACGGGUUGAAGCAUGACCGUAAGGACAUGUGGACAGUAUGGGAGUGAGAAUGUUGGCAUGAGUAGCGAGAUGUGGGUGAGAAUCCCACAGGCCGUAAACCCAAGGUUUCCAGGGGAAGGUUCGUCCGCCCUGGGUUAGUCGGGACCUAAGCUGAGGCCGAAAGGCGUAGGUGAUGGACAACAGGUUGAUAUUCCUGUACUACCGAUAACCGUUUGAGAGAAGGGAUGACACAGUAGGAUAAGCUAAGCACACUGUUGGUUAUGUGUGCCCAAGCAUUGAGGCAGUCAAAGUAGGCAAAUCCGCUUUGAUAAUGCUGGGAUGUGAUGGGGAGCGAAAUUUAGUAGCGAAGUAGCUGAUUUCACACUGUCAAGAAAAGUCUCUAUCGAGGUUAAAGGUACCCGUACCGCAAACCGACACAGGUGGGUGAGGAGAGUAUCCUAAGGCCAGCGAGAGAACUGUUGUUAAGGAACUCGGCAAAAUGACCCCGUAACUUAGGGAUAAGGGGUGCCACCAUCAGGUGGCCGCAGAGAAUAGGCCCAAGCGACUGUUUACCAAAAACAUAGGUUUCUGCUAAGUCGCAAGACGAUGUAUAGGAGCUGACGCCUGCCCGGUGCUGGAAGGUUAAGGGGAUCUGUUAGAGCAAUCGAAGCAGUGAACUUAAGCCCCAGUAAACGGCGGCCGUAACUAUAACGGUCCUAAGGUAGCGAAAUUCCUUGUCGGGUAAGUUCCGACCCGCACGAAAGGCGUAACGAUUUGGGCACUGUCUCAACAACAGACUCGGUGAAAUUGUAAUUCCGGUGAAGAUGCCGGAUACCUGCGACAGGACGGAAAGACCCCAUGGAGCUUUACUGUAGCUUGACAUUGGGUCUUGGUACUACAUGUACAGGAUAGGUGGGAGGCUUUGAAACCAGGACGCCAGUUUUGGCGGAGCCAUCCUUGGGAUACCACCCUUGUAGUACUGGGACUCUAACCAUAGGCCAUGAAUCUGGUCUUGGGACACUGUCAGG
Molecule: ribosomal RNA, 1273 nt
Filed under: Clostridioides difficile
Lineage: Bacteria; Bacillati; Bacillota; Clostridia; Peptostreptococcales; Peptostreptococcaceae
Description: partial 23S ribosomal RNA
Rfam family: Bacterial large subunit ribosomal RNA
Source: RNAcentral